CUACGGGCGGCAGCAGUGGGGAAUACUGCACAAUGGGCGCAAGCCUGAUGCAGCAACGCCGUGUGAGUGAUGAAGGUCUUCGGAUUGUAAAACUCUGUCCUAUGGGAAGAAAAAAAUGACGGUACCAUAGGAGGAAGCCCCGGCUAACUACGUGCCAGCAGCCGCGGUAAUACGUAGGGGGCAAGCGUUAUCCGGAAUCACUGGGCGUAAAGGGUGCGUAGGCGGCCUAUCAAGUCAGAGGUGAAAGGCAUUGGCUCAACCAAUGUAAGCCUUUGAAACUGUUAGGCUUGAGUGCAGGAGAGGUAAGUGGAAUUCCUAGUGUAGAGGUGAAAUUCGUAGAUAUUAGGAGGAACACCAGUGGCGAAGGCGACUUACUGGACUGUAACUGACGCUGAGGCACGAAAGCGUGGGGAGCGAACAGGAUUAGAUACCCCGGUAGUC
RNAcentral lists this ribosomal RNA (441 nucleotides) under uncultured bacterium. Its description in RNAcentral is "partial 16S ribosomal RNA". It matches the Rfam family "Bacterial small subunit ribosomal RNA", at positions 339 to 795 of the family's 1533-position model. The record is from RNAcentral.